Molecule: ribosomal RNA, 25 nt
Filed under: Arsukibacterium sp. MJ3
Lineage: Bacteria; Pseudomonadati; Pseudomonadota; Gammaproteobacteria; Chromatiales; Chromatiaceae
Source: RNAcentral
ACCUGAUCCCAUUCCGAACUCAGAA